This 658-nucleotide long non-coding RNA is filed under the name Camponotus floridanus (Florida carpenter ant). RNAcentral's name for it is "uncharacterized LOC112639398". The record is from RNAcentral. Lineage: Eukaryota; Metazoa; Arthropoda; Insecta; Hymenoptera; Formicidae.
AAUAUUGUUUAAUUUAUUACUUGUCAGUCAUUCACAUUUAUUAAAAAUAGUCACUUUAUUAAAUAAUGUGAGAAACUAUGUUCUUUGCGAAUAGACCUGAAGAUGAAUUAUGAAAGGGCACAAGUAUCAAGUAAUGGGCAGGAAGACGCAGAGGUAGAGCAAGAAGAGUAGUGAAAAGAGAGACCUAAAUAAGGAGCAAAUUAUUGGCAUGGGAAAAAUUCCGAUACAAUUUCCUGGACACGUCUGAACACUUCUGUGUUUAGAGGAAAAGAAUUAAUUCAACAGCUAAAACUGCUUGUAAAUCUUGAAAGAAAGCAAAAACUUAUGGAAUUACCACAAAGUCAGACCAGGCCAAUGCAAAUAAAAUUAUCACCAUUGGAAUGUGGUUGGAGGAGUGUUACAAUGGAUGGCAGAAGCAUUGAAUCAGAUCUUAUUGGAAAAGAUACAUUUGAAAGUUUUGAAACCUGGAUUUUGAAAAACAAAAUGAUAACUUGUAUGACCAGUAAUUUAGCACGUAAGACUAGAAUCAAUUCAUUUAUAGUAACUGGGAAUGGAAAUGGAUUGGCUGGAUUUGCGUUAUCAAAAGCCAAAGCAUCCCUAAAGACGAUUAAAAAUAGGGCUGGUCAAAGAUUAAUGUAUAUUCCUACAUAUAAGGAAC